GACAAGAAAUAACAAUACGGGGCUUAAUGUCUUGUAAUUGGAAUGAUGGGAAUUUAAACCUCUUCCAGAGUAUCAAUUGGAGGGCAAGUCUGGUGCCAGCAGCCGCGGUAAUUCCAGCUCCAAUAACGUAUAUUAAAUUUGUUGCAGUUAAAAAGCUCGUAGUUGAAUUUCUGCUGCAUUACAUUUCUCUUGUUUGAGUUUGUUAUUGUGGCUUAUUUCGGAUUGAUUUUUAUCUUUCCGGAUGAUUACUUUGAGAAAAUUAGAGUGCUCAAAGCAGGCUUUUGCCUUGAAUAGUUUAGCAUGGAAUAAUAGAGUAGGACUUUGGUUCUAUUUUGUUGGUUUUAGGUACCAAAGUAAUGGUUAAUAGGAACAGUUGGGGGCAUUCGUAUUUAACUGUCAGAGGUGAAAUUCUUAG
Molecule: ribosomal RNA, 415 nt
Filed under: Theileria orientalis
Lineage: Eukaryota; Apicomplexa; Aconoidasida; Piroplasmida; Theileriidae
Description: SSU rRNA
Rfam family: Eukaryotic small subunit ribosomal RNA
Source: RNAcentral